RNAcentral lists this transfer RNA (77 nucleotides) under Enterobacteria phage CHB7. RNAcentral describes it as "tRNA-Pro". It matches the Rfam family "tRNA". Rfam says of the family: Transfer RNA (tRNA) molecules are approximately 80 nucleotides in length. Their secondary structure includes four short double-helical elements and three loops (D, anti-codon, and T loops). Lineage: Duplodnaviria; Heunggongvirae; Uroviricota; Caudoviricetes; Andersonviridae. The record is from RNAcentral.
CUCCGUUUAGCUCAGUUUGGUAGAGUGCGCCGUUUGGGGCGGUGAGGUCGAAGGUUCAAUCCCUUCAACGGAGACCA